RNAcentral lists this ribosomal RNA (111 nucleotides) under Acanthosepion pharaonis. The record is from RNAcentral. Lineage: Eukaryota; Metazoa; Mollusca; Cephalopoda; Sepiida; Sepiidae.
GGGCCAUAUCAUGUUGAAAUACCGGUUCUCAUACGAUCACGGAAGUUAAGCAACGUCGAGCUUGGUUAUUACCUAGAUGGGUGACCGUUUGUGAAUAUCAGGUGCUGUAAG